CCUACGGGAGGCAGCAGUAGGGAAUCUUCCACAAUGGGCGAAAGCCUGAUGGAGCAACGCCGCGUGGGUGAAGAAGGUCUUCGGAUCGUAAAACCCUGUUGUUAGAGAAAAAAGUUCGUGAGAGUACCUGUUCCCGUUUCGACGGUAUCUAACCAGACAGCCCCGGCUACCUCCGUCCCAGCCGCCGCGGUAAUACGUAGGGGGCAAGCUUUGUCCGGAUUUAUUGGGCGGAAAGGGAACGCAGGCGGGCUUUUAAGUCUGAUGUGAAAGGCUUCGGCUUAACCGGAGUAGUGCAGUGGAAACUGGGAGACUUGAGUGCAGAAGAGGAGAGUGGAAUU
This 338-nucleotide ribosomal RNA is filed under the name uncultured bacterium. Its description in RNAcentral is "partial 16S ribosomal RNA". It matches the Rfam family "Bacterial small subunit ribosomal RNA", at positions 338 to 668 of the family's 1533-position model. The record is from RNAcentral.